This is a long non-coding RNA of Pristis pectinata (smalltooth sawfish), 607 nucleotides long. RefSeq lists it as uncharacterized. The transcript is spliced from 3 exons. The record is from RefSeq and is a predicted model, not a curated record. NCBI's taxonomy places the organism in Eukaryota, Metazoa, Chordata, Chondrichthyes, Rhinopristiformes, Pristidae.
GCUGUAUUGCUCUAUGACUCUAUGACUUAUUUCAUUGACAUGGCACCAUCUAACUGGAUGGUUUCGACACACGAGGAAGACCUGUAAGAUGGAAAGGAGCUCACCUGUACAGAAACGUAUCCACCAACCCGAGGAGAUGCAGUAGUAUUCGAGGAUGAGCGCCGCUCCCACGGUGAAGAUGGUGGCACAGUCGCGGCCCUGGAACAGGAAGGAAUGGUCCCAAACUGGCUGCUCCUGAGGAAAACCUGCCUGAGACACCUGAGGAGAGAAAGACAAGAGCAUCAAUGCUGCUCGACCUGCUGAGUUCCUCCAGCAUGUUGUUUGUUGUAUAACUGGAUGUUUGAUGGUCAGCAGACUCCAUGACUCUAAAGGAAAUGGAAGCAGGACUAUUGGCAAAUGCUCCAACAGUCCUGCGGCCAGCAGAAUCGCAUAACAGAAACCGGCCAAGUUAGCUAAUACUUGCUUGAGAGAGCAGCAGAGGCUGCACUGUUGUAUCAAUGCUUGAGUCGGGAACCUGCUCGCUCAGAGGCAAGAUCAGAACUAAGCCAGGUCCGAGUGAACAAAUUAUCCUCAGGAUGACGGACUCGAUGAUUCACCACACACUGCU